GUGAUUGACCGACUCUGACUGUUAGCUAUAUUUGAGAAUCUAACCGAGCAAACCGAGGUCGUUAAAUGCUUGGAGCUUGCACGAGGAAGGAGUCGUUGACCUUAGGUACACAUGGAGCUUGCACGGGAGGCGCAGUCGUUGUGGGACAUGGAUCGUGGAUGCCAUGUUAAACUUUAUUACGCUUUGAACUUGAUACUUAUGUUGGGUUUUCAUAUUAUGCUUCCGCUACCUAAACUAUGUUUUGUUUGAACAUCAAUUGUAUUGUGUUGGAUUUCAUA
RNAcentral lists this long non-coding RNA (278 nucleotides) under Helianthus annuus (common sunflower). RNAcentral's name for it is "sRNA HanXRQr2_Chr05g0208881". The record is from RNAcentral. Lineage: Eukaryota; Viridiplantae; Streptophyta; Magnoliopsida; Asterales; Asteraceae.